Molecule: ribosomal RNA, 406 nt
Filed under: uncultured bacterium
Lineage: Bacteria
Description: partial 16S ribosomal RNA
Rfam family: Bacterial small subunit ribosomal RNA
Source: RNAcentral
AUUGAACGCUGGCGGCAGGCCUAACACAUGCAAGUCGAGCGAGCGGCGGACGGGUGAGUAAUGUAUGGGGAUCUGCCUGCUAGAGGGGGAUAACUACUGGAAACGGUGGCUAAUACCGCAUACCAUCAGAUGAACCCAUAUUGGAUUAGCUAGUAGGUGGGGUAACGGCUCACCUAGGCGACGAUCGCUCGCUGGUCUGAGAGGAUGAUCAGCCACACUGGGACUGAGACACGGCCCAGACGCCUACGGGAGGCAGCAGUGGGGAAUAUUGCACAAUGGGCGCAAGCCGGAUGCAGCCAUGCCGCGUGGAUGAAGAAGGCCUUCGGGUUGUAAAGUACUUUCAGUAGGGAGGCGUUACCCACAGAAGAAGCACCGGCUAACUCCGUGCCAGCAGCCGCGGUAAUUC